AUUUGGAAAAUGAAUACAUUGUUGCAAGAACUCACAUUGUUGGCCAUAAUGUUUGUGAUAAUGUUGUUGACUUACCAGAUGUCCUGGAAAUUCCUGGGGUGGAAGUAUUUCCAGGCGCUCCAAACUCCUCUGUGUCGCUGCAGAAUUGGAUGACAACCACGGUUAGAAAGUGUUCUCAAGACAACUGUGCCAAGUACUGAAAAACGGACCAAAAACUGAUUCAAGAUUCUCAGGUCAAGGGGAUCUCUGAGUGGCUCAGUGGUUGAGCACCUGCCUUCAGCCCAAGGCAUGAUCCUAGAGACCCAGGAUCAAGUCCCACAUCCGGCUCCCUGCAUGGAACCUGCUUCACCCUCUGCCUGUGUCUGCCUCUGUCUCUG
This 377-nucleotide long non-coding RNA is filed under the name Vulpes vulpes (red fox). RNAcentral describes it as "lncRNA (ENSVVUG00000028785.1)". Lineage: Eukaryota; Metazoa; Chordata; Mammalia; Carnivora; Canidae. The record is from RNAcentral.